CCCUUAGAUGCUCUGGGCCGCACACGCGCUACACUGAAGGAGGCAGCGUGUACUCCUGGAUCGAAAGAUUUGGGUAACCCGCGAAUCUCCUUCGUGCUAGGGAUUGAGGUUUGCAAUUAUCCUUCAUGAACGAGGAAUUCCCAGUAAGUGCAAGUCAUAAGCUUGCGCUGACUACGUCCCUGCCCUUUGUACACACCGCCCGUCGCUACUACCGAUUGAAUGAUUUAGUGAGGACUUCGGACUGGGACCGAUGCGGCUUUCGGGCUGCGUCGGUAUUCUGGAAAGAUGUCCAAACUGUAUCAUUUAGAGGAAGUAAAAGUCGUAACA
This 327-nucleotide ribosomal RNA is filed under the name uncultured eukaryote. RNAcentral describes it as "partial 18S ribosomal RNA". It matches the Rfam family "Eukaryotic small subunit ribosomal RNA", at positions 1470 to 1796 of the family's 1831-position model. The record is from RNAcentral.